Molecule: small nuclear RNA, 320 nt
Filed under: Castor canadensis (American beaver)
Lineage: Eukaryota; Metazoa; Chordata; Mammalia; Rodentia; Castoridae
Description: 7SK RNA (ENSCCNG00000002583.1)
Rfam family: 7SK RNA
About the family: 7SK was discovered as an abundant small nuclear RNA in the mid-70s but a possible function has only recently been suggested. Two independent studies have found that 7SK RNA binds the CDK9/cyclin T complex (known as elongation factor P-TEFb).
Source: RNAcentral
GGAUGUGAAUCAAUCUGGCAACAUCUGUGACCCCAUUGAUCGCCAGGGUUGAUUCGGCUCAAAUGGCUGGCUAGGCUGGUGUCCCCUUCCUCCCUCACUGCUCUACGUGCAUCCCUCCCGAAGCUGCGCGCUCGGUUGAAGAGGACGACCAUCCCCGAUAGAGGAGGACCUUUCUUCGGUCAAGGGAAUAUGAGUAGCUGCGCCCCCCUGCUCGAACCUCCAAACAAGCUCUCAAGAACAUUGAUUCACACUCUGGCAAUCCCAGCACUCAGAAGACAGAGACAGAAGGAUGGAAAGUUUGAGGCCAGGCUGGACUCUCU